GGGUUGUGAGGUUAAGCGACUAAGCGUACACGGUGGAUGCCCUGGCAGUCAGAGGCGAUGAAGGACGUGCUAAUCUGCGAUAAGCGUCGGUAAGGUGAUAUGAACCGUUAUAACCGGCGAUUUCCGAAUGGGGAAACCCAGUGUGAUUCGUCACACUAUCAUUAACUGAAUCCAUAGGUUAAUGAGGCGAACCGGGGGAACUGAAACAUCUAAGUACCCCGAGGAAAAGAAAUCAACCGAGAUUCCCCCAGUAGCGGCGAGCGAACGGGGAGCAGCCCAGAGCCUGAAUCAGUGUGUGUGUUAGUGGAAGCGUCUGGAAAGGCGCGCGAUACAGGGUGACAGCCCCGUACACAAAAAUGCACAUGCUGUGAGCUCGAUGAGUAGGGCGGGACACGUGGUAUCCUGUCUGAAUAUGGGGGGACCAUCCUCCAAGGCUAAAUACUCCUGACUGACCGAUAGUGAACCAGUACCGUGAGGGAAAGGCGAAAAGAACCCCGGCGAGGGGAGUGAAAAAGAACCUGAAACCGUGUACGUACAAGCAGUGGGAGCACAGAGCAAUCUGUGUGACUGCGUACCUUUUGUAUAAUGGGUCAGCGACUUAUAUUCUGUAGCAAGGUUAACCGAAUAGGGGAGCCGAAGGGAAACCGAGUCUUAACUGGGCGUUAAGUUGCAGGGUAUAGACCCGAAACCCGGUGAUCUAGCCAUGGGCAGGUUGAAGGUUGGGUAACACUAACUGGAGGACCGAACCGACUAAUGUUGAAAAAUUAGCGGAUGACUUGUGGCUGGGGGUGAAAGGCCAAUCAAACCGGGAGAUAGCUGGUUCUCCCCGAAAGCUAUUUAGGUAGCGCCUCGUGAAUUCAUCUCCGGGGGUAGAGCACUGUUUCGGCAAGGGGGUCAUCCCGACUUACCAACCCGAUGCAAACUGCGAAUACCGGAGAAUGUUAUCACGGGAGACACACGGCGGGUGCUAACGUCCGUCGUGAAGAGGGAAACAACCCAGACCGCCAGCUAAGGUCCCAAAGUCAUGGUUAAGUGGGAAACGAUGUGGGAAGGCCCAGACAGCCAGGAUGUUGGCUUAGAAGCAGCCAUCAUUUAAAGAAAGCGUAAUAGCUCACUGGUCGAGUCGGCCUGCGCGGAAGAUGUAACGGGGCUAAACCAUGCACCGAAGCUGCGGCAGCGACGCUUAUGCGUUGUUGGGUAGGGGAGCGUUCUGUAAGCCUGUGAAGGUGUGCUGUGAGGCAUGCUGGAGGUAUCAGAAGUGCGAAUGCUGACAUAAGUAACGAUAAAGCGGGUGAAAAGCCCGCUCGCCGGAAGACCAAGGGUUCCUGUCCAACGUUAAUCGGGGCAGGGUGAGUCGACCCCUAAGGCGAGGCCGAAAGGCGUAGUCGAUGGGAAACAGGUUAAUAUUCCUGUACUUGGUGUUACUGCGAAGGGGGGACGGAGAAGGCUAUGUUGGCCGGGCGACGGUUGUCCCGGUUUAAGCGUGUAGGCUGGUUUUCCAGGCAAAUCCGGAAAAUCAAGGCUGAGGCGUGAUGACGAGGCACUACGGUGCUGAAGCAACAAAUGCCCUGCUUCCAGGAAAAGCCUCUAAGCAUCAGGUAACAUCAAAUCGUACCCCAAACCGACACAGGUGGUCAGGUAGAGAAUACCAAGGCGCUUGAGAGAACUCGGGUGAAGGAACUAGGCAAAAUGGUGCCGUAACUUCGGGAGAAGGCACGCUGAUAUGUAGGUGAAGUCCCUCGCGGAUGGAGCUGAAAUCAGUCGAAGAUACCAGCUGGCUGCAACUGUUUAUUAAAAACACAGCACUGUGCAAACACGAAAGUGGACGUAUACGGUGUGACGCCUGCCCGGUGCCGGAAGGUUAAUUGAUGGGGUCAGCGCAAGCGAAGCUCUUGAUCGAAGCCCCGGUAAACGGCGGCCGUAACUAUAACGGUCCUAAGGUAGCGAAAUUCCUUGUCGGGUAAGUUCCGACCUGCACGAAUGGCGUAAUGAUGGCCAGGCUGUCUCCACCCGAGACUCAGUGAAAUUGAACUCGCUGUGAAGAUGCAGUGUACCCGCGGCAAGACGGAAAGACCCCGUGAACCUUUACUAUAGCUUGACACUGAACAUUGAGCCUUGAUGUGUAGGAUAGGUGGGAGGCUUUGAAGUGUGGACGCCAGUCUGCAUGGAGCCGACCUUGAAAUACCACCCUUUAAUGUUUGAUGUUCUAACGUUGACCCGUAAUCCGGGUUGCGGACAGUGUCUGGUGGGUAGUUUGACUGGGGCGGUCUCCUCCUAAAGAGUAACGGAGGAGCACGAAGGUUGGCUAAUCCUGGUCGGACAUCAGGAGGUUAGUGCAAUGGCAUAAGCCAGCUUGACUGCGAGCGUGACGGCGCGAGCAGGUGCGAAAGCAGGUCAUAGUGAUCCGGUGGUUCUGAAUGGAAGGGCCAUCGCUCAACGGAUAAAAGGUACUCCGGGGAUAACAGGCUGAUACCGCCCAAGAGUUCAUAUCGACGGCGGUGUUUGGCACCUCGAUGUCGGCUCAUCACAUCCUGGGGCUGAAGUAGGUCCCAAGGGUAUGGCUGUUCGCCAUUUAAAGUGGUACGCGAGCUGGGUUUAGAACGUCGUGAGACAGUUCGGUCCCUAUCUGCCGUGGGCGCUGGAGAACUGAGGGGGGCUGCUCCUAGUACGAGAGGACCGGAGUGGACGCAUCACUGGUGUUCGGGUUGUCAUGCCAAUGGCACUGCCCGGUAGCUAAAUGCGGAAGAGAUAAGUGCUGAAAGCAUCUAAGCACGAAACUUGCCCCGAGAUGAGUUCUCCCUGACCCUUUAAGGGUCCUGAAGGAACGUUGAAGACGACGACGUUGAUAGGCCGGGUGUGUAAGCGCAGCGAUGCGUUGAGCUAACCGGUACUAAUGAACCGUGAGGCUUAACCUUACAACGCCGAAGGUGUUU
This 2933-nucleotide ribosomal RNA is filed under the name Escherichia coli. RNAcentral's name for it is "23S ribosomal RNA". It matches the Rfam family "Bacterial large subunit ribosomal RNA". Lineage: Bacteria; Pseudomonadati; Pseudomonadota; Gammaproteobacteria; Enterobacterales; Enterobacteriaceae. The record is from RNAcentral.